CCUGAGAAACCCAAAAGAUCGAAUGGGGAGAUUCAUCGUCAGCGGCUUUGGCUUCCGUGCGGUACGCGAUGGCAGGGACUUCGGUCUCGCGUCACGCUGCCGCUGCGGCAUGUCCGGAGUCGUCGGCGUGCACUUCUCCCCUAGUAGGACGUCGCGACCCGUUGGGUGUCGGAUCGAUGGCCGGUCGGUCGUCUGUUGCGCUCGCGCUCCAGACCGAUUCGGUCGAAAGUCCGGCUGCCCGGCGGUAUUGAACGAUAUGAACUGGUAUCGGGCCGCACUCGAAUGCGUUCUGGCUCGUCGGCAGGCUCGCCUCGCUCGGAUUUACGGACCUAGUGCCGUUGCCGGGCGCUUGGCGUGGCCGUUAGUCGACGAUGUCCUCGAACUGGCCCUUACCCGUCGG
RNAcentral lists this ribosomal RNA (400 nucleotides) under Eulophus sp. 2 ZLS-2005. RNAcentral's name for it is "eukaryotic LSU rRNA". The record is from RNAcentral. Lineage: Eukaryota; Metazoa; Arthropoda; Insecta; Hymenoptera; Eulophidae.